Molecule: ribosomal RNA, 443 nt
Filed under: uncultured bacterium
Lineage: Bacteria
Description: partial 16S ribosomal RNA
Rfam family: Bacterial small subunit ribosomal RNA
Source: RNAcentral
UCUACGGGAGGCAGCAGUGGGGAAUAUUGGGCAAUGGGCGCAAGCCUGACCCAGCAACGCCGCGUGAAGGAAGAAGGCCUUCGGGUUGUAAACUUCUUUUCUCAGGGACGAAGCAAGUGACGGUACCUGAGGAAUAAGCCACGGCUAACUACGUGCAAGCAGCCGCGGUAAGCCGUAGGAGGCAAGCGUGAUACGGAUUUACUGGGUGGAAAGGGGGUGUAGGCGGGAAAGCAAGUGUGAUGGGAAAGCCAUGGGGUCAACCCGUGGACUGCUCUUGAAACUGUGUUUCUUGAGUACAGGAGAGGCAGGCGGAAUUCCUGGUGUAGCGGUGAAAUGCGUAGAUAUUAGGAGGAACACCAGUGGCGAAGGCGGCCUGCUGGACAGCAACUGACGCUGAGGCGCGAAAGCGUGGGGAGCAAACAGGAUUAGAUACCCGUGUAGUC